Molecule: ribosomal RNA, 301 nt
Filed under: uncultured bacterium
Lineage: Bacteria
Description: partial 16S ribosomal RNA
Rfam family: Bacterial small subunit ribosomal RNA
Source: RNAcentral
CAGCCGCCGCGGUAAUACGAGGGGGGCAAGCGUUGUUCGGAAUUAUUGGGCGUAAAGGGUGCGUAGGCGGUUUGGCAAGUUUGGUGUGAAAUCUUCGGGCUCAACUCGAAGUCUGCAUCGAAAACUGCCGGGCUUGAGUAUGGGAGAGGUGAGUGGGAUUUCCGGUGUAGCGGUGAAAUGCGUAGAUAUCGGAAGGAACACCUGUGGCGAAAGCGGCUCACUGGACCAUAACUGACGCUGAUGCACGAAAGCUAGGGGAGCAAACAGGAUUAGAUACCCCAGUAGUCCCUGUCUCUUAUAC